This 30-nucleotide non-coding RNA is filed under the name Mus musculus (house mouse). Lineage: Eukaryota; Metazoa; Chordata; Mammalia; Rodentia; Muridae. The record is from RNAcentral.
UGCUGUAGUGUCCAGAACGCCUCAGGUCCG